AACGAACGCUGGCGGCAUGCCUAACACAUGCAAGUCGAACGAGACCUUCGGGUCUAGUGGCGCACGGGUGCGUAACGCGUGGGAACCUGCCCUUAGGUUCGGAAUAACUCCCCGAAAGGGGUGCUAAUACCGGAUAAUGUCUUCGCACCAAAGAUUUAUCGCCUUUGGAUGGGCCCGCGUUGGAUUAGCUAGUUGGUAGGGUAAAAGCCUACCAAGGCGACGAUCCAUAGCUGGUCUGAGAGGAUGAUCAGCCACACUGGGACUGAGACACGGCCCAGACUCCUACGGGAGGCAGCAGUGGGGAAUAUUGGACAAUGGGCGAAAGCCUGAUCCAGCAAUGCCGCGUGAGUGAUGAAGGCCUUAGGGUUGUAAAGCUCUUUUACCCGGGAUGAUAAUGACAGUACCGGGAGAAUAAGCGCCGGCUAACUCCGUG
Molecule: ribosomal RNA, 433 nt
Filed under: uncultured bacterium
Lineage: Bacteria
Description: partial 16S ribosomal RNA
Rfam family: Bacterial small subunit ribosomal RNA
Source: RNAcentral